This is a long non-coding RNA of Loxodonta africana (African savanna elephant), 2331 nucleotides long. RefSeq lists it as uncharacterized. The transcript has 3 exons. NCBI's taxonomy places the organism in Eukaryota, Metazoa, Chordata, Mammalia, Proboscidea, Elephantidae. The record is from RefSeq and is a predicted model, not a curated record.
UUUCAACGCCUACAGGCAUGGAGCCUGAGGGACUUCAGCUCCCACCUCAGAUCACAGGGUGGCAAACUGAGGCCGCGAGAGCGGAAGCCACCGGCCAAGGUCACCUUGUUGGCCCGUGUUAGAGUCGGGGUGGAACCCUUGCCUCCGCCCGCCUGGGCAGGGGCCCCGGGUACAUCUCGCCCGUGCGCCGUCGGUUUUCGAAGCUAGGCACCUGGCUGGAGCCUCCCCAGUUCUGAGAGUAUCGGGGCUGGGACCCGGAGGGGGCACUGAGCCCUUCAGAACUCGGAUGCAGAAGCCUCGCCCGAAGCGGCCUGCGAGGACGAGAUCAAGAAUCAGGAGAAACCGCUGGGCCCUCCGAGAGGGAAAGGGCUUCUUGGCAGGCCUAAGCCGAUGACAACAGGGGAUAUGAUAAUUAUAACAAUGGCUUCCUCCGAGAUUUUCCUUCCGCGGACAACAGCCAUGGUGCCCAGGAGGGGGCGCAGAAGCUGGCACGUGCCAGCCCGCCACCCGGGGCACGAACAUGCUGGGAAGGGGGGCCUCGGAGCGGAAGGAUGACAGGGCCACCUCCGGAAGCCGAGGGCACUCGCGGUGGGAGGACCAGCAGUUGUCUUCGCAUGGAAAUUUAUGUAAGAAAAGCCUGGCAGCGAAACAGCCUCCUUGCACCUGUUUCUCAAAAAGCCAUCAAGUGGUCCUGUUAAAAUCUUUGCAAACUGUCUUCUGGAAUGCCAGGCCAGAGGAAGGCCUGCUGCACCUGGAUAAAAGCCAAGAACUAGAAGUUUCUACAUGUACCAUGGAAGAAGUACAGCCAGAAUGCUCCUUAGAAGCAAGGAUGGAGAGACUACGUCUCACAUACUUCAGACAUGUUGUCAGGAGGGAUCAGACCCUGGAGAAGGACACCAUGCUUGAGACAAAAUGAAAAGGAACUUGGGAGGAGACAGAAUAGGAAGAAUGAUGCUGAUGAUUAUGAUGAGGAUAAUGGUGAUGAUAAUAAGGUACUUACCAUGUGCCAGGCACUGUUCAAAUUAAAUGUUCAGUCCCCCAAACAACCCUGUCUUAGUCUGGGUUCUCUAGAGAAGCAAAACCAGUGAAGUGUAUAAAUAUGUAUAUGGAGAGAUUUAUAUCAAGGAAAUGGCUCACGCAUUUGAAGAGGCUGGAAUGUCCCAACCCCGUGGGUCAGGAUAGAAGCUUCUCCUGAUUCAUGUAGCAAGCUUCUCCUGAUUCAUGUAGCCGUAAACCCAAAAACCCAGUGCUGUCGAGUCCGACUCAUAGUGACCCUAUAGGACAGAGUAGAACUGCCCCAUAGAGUUUCCAAGGAGCGCCUGGUGGAUUUGAACUGCUGACCCUUUGGUUAGCAGCCAUAGCAUUUAACCACCAUGCCACCAGGGCUUCCUCAUGUAGCUGUAGGGUCUGGUAAACCCAAAAUCGGCAGGUGAGAAAGCAGGGCUGUUGCUCACAGGCUGCAAAGAUCUCAAACUGCUAAGUCAUAAGAUCUGGAGGUCAGACAAACGGUAGCCAUCCAGAGUUAGCAAAAGCCCACCAGCCUCGCCAGAAUGUCCGCUUAUAUUGGAAGCAGGCAACAUGCCCAAGGAAACUCCCUUUCAACUGAUUGGCUACUCACAGCAGAUACCAUCAUAGAGGUGAUCAUAUUAUAUCAAAUCUCAUCAUGGAAGUGAUCACAACAUCAUACAACUGCCAAACUACAUCAUAACUGCCAAACCACUGAGACUUUGGGACCAACCAAGCUGACACACAACCUUAACCAUCACAAACCCUAGGAGGAAGACGUUACUCUCACCAUUUGAUAGAUGAGGCAAGUAUGCCCUGUUAGCCUGCCCCUAAGUCUACAGAAUCUGGGGUUGCAGGUCAAAAAGGAGGGGGUAUAAAGCAACCUCUCUAGCUGGAAGCCGUCUCCUCGCCCUACCACCCUCCCCCGCUCCCACCAGUGUCUGGCCUGGGUAGAACAGGCAUAUAAACCCACCGGCAGUGGGUUUCUUUUUUUAAUAGACUUAAUUUUUAGAGCAGUUCUAAAGCAGUUCUACGCUUACAGAAAAAUUAUGCAGAGAAUACUGAGUUCCCAUAUCCCACCUAUCCCCUGUACAUUGUUUCUUCUAUUAAUAUCUGUGAUACAUUUGGUACAAUUGAAUAAAUAUUGAUACAUUAUUAUUAACUAAAGUCCAUAGUUCACAUUAGGGUUCACUCUUUGUGUUGUACAGACCUAUGGGUUUUGACAAAUGAUCACAUGCCCCCCAUUACAAAUAUCAUACAGAGCAGUUCCAUUGCCCUAAAAAUGCCCUGUGCUCCACCUACUCGUCUCCCCUCUCUCCUUGAACC